GGACUGCAGGAUGCGAGCUAGACAGCGGGUGGCGAAAGAAGCGGAUUCAUCCUCAGCCACGAUGGAUAAGAAAACAGGCAUUCAUGACCAGGACUGGCUGUAAAGCCUCGGCCGAGAGAAGAUCUCCGCGAACCGCAGCAAUGCAGUGCGAUUCCACUGCCCCGCGUGCUGUUUCUCGUCUCGCACAAACGGCACACGACACAGACGCUUGCUGACCAUAAAAGGACUGAGAUCUCUCUGCGUGGAUGGCAGAGCUGAGCUUUAACGCGACUCUCCCCGAGUCCGCCGGAUCUCCCAGCAUCCGACUCCUUCGUGUGUAAUCCCACCAGUAGACCCACCAGGGCGACACUGAGGGAGGCCAUCUGCCUCCACUGCCCUGGAACAUCAUCAAGGGCGCCUCUGCUGUGGAAGGAAUGGCGCGUAAUAACAUGCUGCUCACUCAGAGUAUCCAAGAAUGGGUUGCCUUGCUCGACACACUUCUGUUGGGAAAUGGAUGUGGUUUUUGCCAAGACGACCAACGUGCGUGUUUACACGAGACACGUGCGAUGGCGUCCCAUGCUUCAAAGGACAAUGGUGUGGGUGAGGAAGGGAUGCCUGGACCACAUCCAUGGGAAGAUCUCGGCAUUUCAUGUGUCUGAAUGCCAGAUGGGAAAAGAGUGAACCUGAACCAGCUCGGCCCCUCUGCCAGGGUUGGACGGCCCAGCCUCCAUGAACAACCCCUGGCCUUGUCGGAGGCUUUGAUAGUCUGCCUGCAUGAAAAACUGUUUCCAAUUCAUCACCCGGUAAUGCUUCAAGCUGGAUUUAGAGACAUGCUACCACGGAGGCUGAGGAAGGAUUACUCGCAGUCUGCUGCAGCAUUCCGGACGGCCCAGUGGGAAGCAUGGAGGCGAGGGGAGGCCAUAAAAAUCUCCUGUCUGACGCUUGCGAAUGACCGACGGGGGGAAAUAAACCUCAUGGCUAGUUAGAAACCAUUAUGGAGGAAGAAGGGUGUUUGGGGUGAGGAGUGACCCAGUUGGGUAUGCCCUAUCGAGUUACCCACACUACCUUCCCUCAGGGACUAGAGGGCCACAAAACAGGAGGACCUGACGGCACUGACCUUGGCUGGUAAGAACCGUAGCUCCAGGUGUGAAUUCCAGAGUGAGCUCAUAAACAAAAAGGCUUCGAGACAGGAGAGGUGUUCACCUGACUGACAUUUCUAGAGCCGUACAGUGCGUUUUCUUCAAAAAUAAACACGCCAAAGUCCAGUGCAGAAGCCAAACCUUUCUGCCUGAACACUAACACGAAUGCUGUGUCUUGUUGCUUGCCAAAUCCCAACUUUGGUUUGAAACCUUUAUGAAUAUACUGUAAAUUGUUCUGUGGUUUUAAUGGUGCUGUGAAGGCAAUGAAAGGGCUGAGCUGUAAUGAACAUUUUCUCAUAGCCCGUAAUGUCAUAAAUAUUUAGAGUUUACUUCACCCAAAUGCUAAAGUGGCUGACAAUGAACCUGAACAGCAGGUUAGUGUUAUUCCAUGUGCUUAAUGCGUUAGCAUGUUUGGUUAUUCACUUAUUCAUUAGCGUUUUUGUGCUUCAAUCAAUCAACUAGUGCAAUAAACUACUGAAAC
Molecule: long non-coding RNA, 1599 nt
Organism: Electrophorus electricus (electric eel)
Lineage: Eukaryota; Metazoa; Chordata; Actinopteri; Gymnotiformes; Gymnotidae
Source: RefSeq, a predicted model, not a curated record